AUGUUUUUGGCAGGAUUCUUACUUCUAUCGGAGGAGGGUCUGAAGCUUUUGCUGAUGGAGAUGAGCAGGCUGGAAGGUAUGGGGGCCUUUGCAUUGAGAUACUUGUAUAUGAGGGCCUGGUGCUCCAGCUCCAUCCACUGUGAAGGAGUGAAGGGCAUCUUGCUCCUGGCCAGCAGCAGCCUCUGCUCAUUGGACCUGCCAAAAUCCAUACCUAGAUGCAAAAAAAGAAGAGGAAAACCCACUCAGCAUGAGCAAAAAUGCUCAGAGAAGCAGCAACCUUAUCUUGAAAAUAUCCAUGCGUGUAGUUAUUUAUUUGUUUCUUAUUAUUGCAGGCGCCGAGUCAAGACAAAAGUGUAG
RNAcentral lists this ribosomal RNA (357 nucleotides) under Triticum aestivum (bread wheat). RNAcentral's name for it is "partial small subunit ribosomal RNA". The record is from RNAcentral. Lineage: Eukaryota; Viridiplantae; Streptophyta; Magnoliopsida; Poales; Poaceae.